Molecule: ribosomal RNA, 523 nt
Filed under: uncultured bacterium
Lineage: Bacteria
Description: bacterial SSU rRNA
Rfam family: Bacterial small subunit ribosomal RNA
Source: RNAcentral
AGAGUUUGAUCAUGGCUCAGGAUGAACGCUAGCGGCAGGCUUAAUACAUGCAAGUCGUGGGGCAGCAGGGGUAGCAAUACCCGCUGGCGACCGGCAAACGGGUGAGGAACAUGUACGCAACCUUCCUUUAACUGGAGAAUAGCCCCUCGAAAGAGGGAUUAAUACUCCGUAACAUAAUGAAGUGACAUCACUUUAUUAUUAUAGCUCCGGCGGUUAAAGAUGGGCGUGCACCUGAUUAGAUAGUUGGCGGGGUAACGGCCCACCAAGUCUGCGAUCAGCAACUGGUGUGAGAGCACGACCAGUCACACGGGCACUGAGACACGGGUCCGACUCCUACGGGAGGCAGCAGUAAGGAAUAUUGGUCAAUGGACGCAAGUCUGAACCAGCCAUGCCGCGUGGAGGAUUAAGGCCCUCUGGGUUGUAAACUCCUUUUAUCUGGGAAGAAAUGUACUUUUUCUUGAGUACUUGACGGUACCAGAGGAAUAAGCACCGGCUAACUCCGUGCCAGCAGCCGCGGUAAUAC